UGGGGAAUAUUGCACAAUGGGGGAAACCCUGAUGCAGCGACGCCGCGUGGAGGAAGAAGGUCUUCGGAUUGUAAACUCCUGUUGUUGGGGAAGACAAUGACGGUACCCAACAAGGAAGUGACGGCUAACUACGUGCCAGCAGCCGCGGUAAAACGUAGGUCACAAGCGUUGUCCGGAAUUACUGGGUGUAAAGGGAGCGCAGGCGGGUGAUCAAGUUGGAAGUGAAAUCCAUGGGCUCAACCCAUGAACUGCUUUCAAAACUGAUUGUCUUGAGUAGUGCAGAGGUAGGCGGAAUUCCCGGUGUAGCGGUGGAAUGCGUAGAUAUCGGGAGGAACACCAGUGGCGAAGGCGGCCUACUGGGCACCAACUGACGCUGAGGCUCGAAAGUGUGGGUAGCAAACAGGAUUAGAUACCCUGGUAGUCCACACCGUAAACGAUGAUUACUAGGUGUUGGAGGAUUGACCCCUUCAGUGCCGCAGUUAACACAAUAAGUAAUCCACCUGGGGAGUACGACCGCAAGAAUGAAACUCAAAGGAAUUGACGGGGGCCCGCACAAGCAGUGGAGUAUGUGGUUUAAUUCGACGCAACGCGAAGAACCUUACCAAGUCUUGACAUCCUGCGACGAACGUAGAAAUACGUUUUUCCUUCGGGACGCAGAGACAGGUGGUGCAUGGUUGUCGUCAGCUCGUGUCGUGAGAUGUUGGGUUAAGUCCCGCAACGAGCGCAACCCUUAUGGUCAGUUACUACGCAAGAGGACUCUGGCCAGACUGCCGUUGACAAAACGGAGGAAGGUGGGGAUGACGUCAAAUCAUCAUGCCCUUUAUGACUUGGGCUACACACGUACUACAAUGGCGUUAAACAAAGAGAAGCAAGACCGCGAGGUGGAGCAAAACUCAGAAACAACGUCCCAGUUCGGACUGCAGGCUGCAACUCGCCUGCACGAAGUCGGAAUUGCUAGUAAUCGCAGAUCAGCAUGCUGCGGUGAAUACGUUCCC
This 995-nucleotide ribosomal RNA is filed under the name uncultured bacterium. RNAcentral's name for it is "bacterial SSU rRNA". It matches the Rfam family "Bacterial small subunit ribosomal RNA", at positions 355 to 1375 of the family's 1533-position model. The record is from RNAcentral.